CCUACGGGAGGCAGCAGUGGGGAAUAUUGGGCAAUGGACGCAAGUCUGACCCAGCAACGCCGCGUGAAGGAAGAAGGCUUUCGGGUUGUAAACUUCUUUUAAGGGGGAAGAGCAGAAGACGGUACCCCUUGAAUAAGCCACGGCUAACUACGUGCCAGCAGCCGCGGUAAUACGUAGGUGGCAAGCGUUGUCCGGAUUUACUGGGUGGAAAGGGCGUGCAGCCGGAGAGACAAGUCAGAUGUGAAAUCCACGGGCUCAACCCGUGAACUGCAUUUGAAACUGUUUCCCUUGAGUGUCGGAGAGGUAAUCGGAAUUCUUUGUGUAGCGGUGAAAUGCGUAGAUAUAAGGAAGAACACCAGUGGCGAAGGCGGAUUACUGGACGAUAACUGACGGUGAGGCGCGAAAGCGUGGGGAGCAAACAGGAUUAGAUACCCGGGUAGUC
Molecule: ribosomal RNA, 442 nt
Filed under: uncultured bacterium
Lineage: Bacteria
Description: partial 16S ribosomal RNA
Rfam family: Bacterial small subunit ribosomal RNA
Source: RNAcentral